Molecule: ribosomal RNA, 215 nt
Filed under: uncultured Chlamydiales CRG86
Lineage: Bacteria; Pseudomonadati; Chlamydiota; Chlamydiia; Chlamydiales
Description: partial 16S ribosomal RNA
Rfam family: Bacterial small subunit ribosomal RNA
Source: RNAcentral
ACGAAACAGGGGCAACUCUGUUUAGUGGCGGAAGGGUUAGUAAUACAUGGGUAACCUGCCUUUAACUUUGGAAUAACGAUUGGAAACGAUCGCUAAUACCAAAUGUGGUGUACCGGGGCAUCCCGGUUUCAUUAAAGUGGGGGAUCGUAAGACCUCGCGGUUAAAGAGGGGCCCAUGCGAUAUCAGCUAGUUGGUGAGGUAACGGCUCACCAAGG